GACGAACGCUGGCGGCGUGCUUAACACAUGCAAGUCGAACGCUGAAGCUCAGCUUUUGUUGAGUGGAUGAGUGGCGAACGGGUGAGUAACACGUGAGUAACCUGCCUCCUUCUUUGGGAUAACGCCCGGAAACGGGUGCUAAUACUGGAUAUUCACUGGUCUUCGCAUGGGGGUUGGUGGAAAGGGUUUUUCUGGUGGGGGAUGGGCUCGCGGCCUAUCAGCUUGUUGGUGGGGUGAUGGCCUACCAAGGCUUUGACGGGUAGCCGGCCUGAGAGGGUGACCGGUCACAUUGGGACUGAGAUACGGCCCAGACUCCUACGGGAGGCAGCAGUGGGGAAUAUUGCACAAUGGGCGCAAGCCUGAUGCAGCGACGCCGCGUGAGGGAUGGAGGCCUUCGGGUUGUGAACCUCUUUCGCUCAUGGUCAAGCCGCAACAAUGGUUGUGGUGAGGGUAGUGGGUAAAGAAGCGCCGGCUAACUACGUG
RNAcentral lists this ribosomal RNA (483 nucleotides) under uncultured bacterium. Its description in RNAcentral is "partial 16S ribosomal RNA". It matches the Rfam family "Bacterial small subunit ribosomal RNA", at positions 28 to 507 of the family's 1533-position model. The record is from RNAcentral.